AUGCACCGAGAGAGAGAGAGAGAGAGAGAGAGAGAGAGAGAGAGAGAGAGAGAGAAUGGUGUACUGUGGAGCUUGGGCAAAGAGAGAUACACAUACAGGGCUGAGUAUACGAAUAUCUUUAUUGGAGCAUUGUGUUCAGAUGCAUUGUGUGAUGUGAAGUUAACACACAUUGAAGAUCUGCUAGGAUUGCAGGAAGGAGAUCGUACUGCCAGUUGUGUUGGAUGUCGGUUAUCUGGAAGAGAAGUGGAAAGAUCCAGUGUAAAUGAAAGUGAUUGGUGGGUGAGCCGGAACCAGCGAAAAAGGAGUCUGGUGCCUUGUCGUGGCUGUGACGUUUCCUCUGGCCGUCUGCUGCAUCGGUGCCCCCAACGUCCAGGAACUAAUCCCCGGUCCUAUGUGGUUUUGACCCUAAUUCACUGUGAGUGUGUGUGGAGUGCAGUGGGCUGGGAGAGAAAACCCUGUGGGGAAGAACGUGCACCGGUGUUGUGAGACGACCGUCUUUUAGAUGCGUGCCCGCUCGUGGCUUUGGACCCCUACUCCGCCGAGUGGUGACGUGUCAACAAUAGCAAGUAAGGAACAGUGUGCAUAUUGUGGGGGACGACGACUGAGAGAAGUGUUUGCUGCUAUAUGAACAUCCAGCUGUGUAGCCCUUGUGUAUGAAUACCUGUUUGUGGAGUGCCUUCAGAGGUUCACCCCUGUUUAGAUCUCUGGUCCGUUGUCUGGAAGAGAGGAGAGGGAAGCGUUCGAGUCAUUCCUGAGGUACAUAGCCGGUGGCACAAACCUACCUGAAGUCACCCAGCGUGGUGGCACCAGCUGAGGCCGUGGAAGGCCCAACGUGCAGCAACUUCAAUCUGUACUUCUAUCUACUCUUGGUCAAAUUCGAGAGGUGGUGUGUCUUUCUCCAUAUAUUCACUGAAGCUAAGUAAAUUUGUGAAGGAACUCUGUCUGUCUGUUACCAGUCCUACAGGUCUGAGCUUGAGGCUCUGAGUCGUCGUGGGAGUGUUUCCACGGUUGGAGGUGACCGUGUUGAGUGUUGGUCUGGGAAGUCUGCCCCAUAGACCACAGUUGUCGUGACAUAUAUAUAUACACCUUCUCUAGACUCCCGAGCUGAAAAGGGCUAAAGCCUGACGUCCACCUCUUCGAGGGUCUGUGAGUUGUAUCCAUUCAGUAUUGUCAUUGUAUACCCACCUGCAUGGCGAACUGUCAGGUACGCACCCCACCCAAUUCAUCAGAAUACUUACCACCUUUACUCUGCGUGCAGUGACUGGAAGAGGCCCACCGAUGGUUCUCCUGCAGGAGAAACACAAAGGCACUACUGAGAAAAACCCUGAGUCACGUGAAGGACAGGACACAAAUUACCUACAGGCUUACCUGAGAGUCCCUGUGACAGAGUCAGAAGCGACUCGGACCUAUACUCUCUGGCCCCGAGAGUGGAUUUUAGAUUCCCUUUUCCCUUCCCUUCACACCUUUUAAAUUUAAAUAAAGUUUGUUUUAAUUAUUCUCUCUCGUUCUCUCUCUCGUUCUCUCUCGUUCUCUCUCUCUCUCUCUCUCUCGUUCUCUCUCUCUCUCUCUCGUGUGUCUGGUCAUUGGGGUGUUCUUGAGACCUCCUCGAGGUGGAAACUAGGGAGGGGCGAGACUCACGACAUCUGUGGUCCGCUCCGACCUGUGACACUGUUAAGGCUUUAUCAUACUUCAAAUCAGAAAAACAGAGGUGAAUAAAACCGGAAUACAUGGGCUUUAGUAUGUUCCUUAGGGUCCAAAUGAUGGUCCCUUGCUUCAGGAAAGUUGGCCCAUGUUUUCAAAACCCAUUGAAAUCAUUUUUAUUAUGAUUACUUUUUUUUUUUUUUUUUUUUUUAUAGAAACAUGUCAUUUAGUCCCUAAUAUAUGCGAUGACGUCACGACACUCCACAGAGGUAAGCGUGUUUAUAUGAGCUUCUUUAAAACGUCGAGUUCGACAGAACAAUGUGUUCUGAUUUGUGCUCAUAAUAGUCGCUAAUGAUAAUUGACCGAAAGUGGCUUUUAAAAAUGCAGAUUAACAAAGUUAUUGAACGUGGAAGUCCGAAUGGGCGAAUACCAACUUUAUCCAAGUGGAUAUACAUUUUUAUUUAGGUAAGGAAAUGUUGUUUGUUUUCCAUUUGAUUUUUUGUAUUUAUGUUAUAUCCUUGAGUAUAAUGCAAAAUUGUGCUUUCGUCAUUGUUUACACACACACUCGCAGUGGAUUGAUUUUUGUUUAGUGAAAAAGGCAAAGAUUUUCUAUCAGUUUUUAUUGCCAAGCGUUAUGUGGGCUGUAAUUAAACACGAGUUCACAUUAGAUGUCUUGCAAUCUUGUCAGCAGAUAAAUGCUGCGAGUAACACGUUAUAGAAAUGUAGGCUAUUGUAAACUUAAAUGUUGAAUAGUUAACCGCAGGAAGUUUGUUUACAAAAACUAACGGUAAAUAUUUUUCAUCAUUCAUUAUGAUUAUCUACAGUAUUGUUCAAAAUAAUAGCAGUACAAUGUGACUAACCAGAAUAAUCAAGGUUUUUAGUAUAUUUUUUAUUGCCACGUGGCAAACAAGUUACCAGUAGGUUCAGUAGAUUGUCAGAAAACAAACAAGACCCAGCAUUCAUGAUAUGCACGCUCUUAAGGCUGUGCAAUUGGGCAAUUAGUUGAAAGGGGUGUGUUCAAAAAAAUAGCAGUGUCUACCUUUGACUGUACAAACUCAAAACUAUUUUGUACAAACAUUUUUUUUUCCUGGGAUUUAGCAAUCCUGUGAAUCACUAAACUAAUAUUUAGUUGUAUGACCACAGUUUUUUAAAACUGCUUGACAUCUGUGUGGCAUGGAGUCAACCAACUUGUGGCACCUCUCAGCUGUUAUUCCACUCCAUGAUUCUUUAACAACAUUCCACAAUUCAUUCACAUUUCUUGGUUUUGCUUCAGAAACAGCAUUUUUGAUAUCACCCCACAAGUUCUCAAUUGGAUUAAGGUCUGGAGAUUGGGCUGGCCACUCCAUAACAUUAAUUUUGUUGGUUUGGAACCAAAACUUUGCCCGUUUACUAGUGUGUUUUGGGUCAUUGUCUUGUUGAAACAACCAUUUCAAGGGCAUGUCCUCUUCAGCAUAGGGCAACAUGACCUCUUCAAGUAUUUUAACAUAUGCAAACUGAUCCAUGAUCCCUGGUAUGCGAUAAAUAGGCCCAACACCAUAGUAGGAGAAACAUGCCCAUAUCAUGAUGCUUGCACCUCCAUGUUUCACUGUCUUCACUGUGUACUGUGGCUUGAAUUCAGAGUUUGGGGGUCGUCUCACAAACUGCCUGUGGCCCUUGGACCCAAAAAGAACAAUUUUACUCUCAUCAGUCCACAAAAUGUUCCUCCAUUUCUCUUUAGGCCAGUUGAUGUGUUCUUUGGCAAAUUGUAACCUCUUCUGCACAUGCCUUUUUUUAACAGAGGGACUUUGCGGGGGAUUCUUGAAAAUAGAUUAGCUUCACACAGACGUCUUCUAACUGUCACAGUACUUACAGGUAACUCCAGACUGUCUUUGAUCAUCCUGGAGGUGAUCAUUGGCUGAGCCUUUGCCAUUCUGGUUAUUCUUCUAUCCAUUUUGAUGGUUGUCUUCCGUUUUCUUCCACGUCUCUCUGGUUUUGCUCUCCAUUUUAAGGCAUUGGAGAUCAUUUUAGCUGAACAGCCUAUCAUUUUUUGCACCUCUUUAUAGGUUUUCCCCUCUCUAAUCAACUUUUUAAUCAAAGUACGCUGUUCUUCUGAACAAUGUCUUGAACGACCCAUUUUCCUCAGCUUUCAAAUGCAUGUUCAACAAGUGUUGGCUUCAUCCUUAAAUAGGGGCCACCUGAUUCACACCUGUUUCUUCACAAAAUUGAUGACCUCAGUGAUUGAAUGCCACACUGCUAUUUUUUUGAACACAUCCCUUUCAACUAAUUCAACUAAUUGCCCAAUUGCACAGCCUUAAGAGCGUGCAUAUCAUGAAUGCUGGGUCUCAUUUGUUUUCUGAGAAUCUACUGAACCUACUGGUAACUUGUUUGCCACGUAGCAAUAAAAAAAUAUACGAAAAACCUUGAUUAUUCUGGUUAGUCACAUUGUACUGCUAUUAUUUUGAACAAUACUGUAUGUGUUUUUACUUUUCUAUUUAGGAGAGUCAUCUGUAAUGUAAGACACCUGAAACAGUGAGAUGCAUGAAGGACAGCUAAUCAUCCUGAAGUGCCAAACCACAUGUGACCACAUGAACACCCACAUGUGCUUGAGAACCUGAGGAUGAAAGCAGUUCUCAUGGCCAGCCGGCUGCUUUUGAUAUUGAGCACAUAUUAAUAAAUUGGCUGUAAACAGUUGAAAGGGAGAGGAUGUCUUUUGUUUUUAUUGCAGUACUGGUGCAAAUGUUUGGACACAUUACUAUUUUUUUGUUUUUGAAAAAAGUAUCUUGUGCUCAUCAAGCCUCCAUUUAUUUGAUUAAAAAUACAGACAAAAUCUGUAAAAUUGUGACAUUUUAUUAAAAUGUAUUAUUUUAUAAAACUUGGCACAAACUGUAUUUUCCUUGUUGAAGAAAGUCAAUUAAUAUACAUUCUAUUUUUUGACCAUUUUUCUCUCGAAAUCAC
Long non-coding RNA from Carassius auratus (goldfish), 4575 nucleotides. Lineage: Eukaryota; Metazoa; Chordata; Actinopteri; Cypriniformes; Cyprinidae. The record is from Ensembl.